UCAAGGCCCGAACRGAUGAUCGCGAACCCGUAGAGUGCCCAUAGGGAGCGGUAAGGGGGGCGGCGACCGCCGCCGCCCAUAUCUGCCUCCCUGGGUGCCCUUGCCGCCGCUGCCCCCCACGUCGUGCAGGGCAAGCAACGGGAACAAAUUUUCAGCGCAGUGCGUGCCAAGGAGUAGCCCCGUUUGGAGGAGAGCGAAGCGUGCGGCAAAGCUUAUCGCGCCGCAGCACGUGACGCGAUCUUGGUACAUCUAACCUGCAUGACUCUCGGCAAUGGAUAUCUUGGCUCUCGCAUCGAUGAAGAACGUAGCGAAAUGCGAUACUUGGUGUGAAUUGCAGAAUCCCGUGAACCAUCGAGUCUUUGAACGCAAGUUGCGCCCGAGGCUAUCUGGCCAAGGGCACGCCUGCCUGGGCGUCACGCCUACCGACUCUCCGCGCUCCUCCCCCUACCCUGUGCGGUUGGCUGGCAGGCACGGAUGCGGAGAUUGGCCCCCCCGUGAAUUGUUGCACGGCAGGUCGAAGUACAGGCUGUCGGCCGGGCCGGACGCAGAAAGUGGUGGAUUGACACGCACGCCGCCGCCGAAGUGACCUAGCUCAAGCGGUGCACCGAAGGAACCCACGCCGAUGGGUGCCAUAUGAGCGCUCCUUGGAACCCGACCCCAGGUCAGGUGGG
This 671-nucleotide ribosomal RNA is filed under the name Lycoris albiflora. RNAcentral's name for it is "eukaryotic LSU rRNA". The stretch from base 261 to 416 matches the Rfam family "5.8S ribosomal RNA". Lineage: Eukaryota; Viridiplantae; Streptophyta; Magnoliopsida; Asparagales; Amaryllidaceae. The record is from RNAcentral.